UCUGCUCGCUUUGUUCAUUGUUGCCGAGGCCCGCUUUGCUGUCGCAAAUGGAUCCUGGCUGGGCUGCUGUGGGAGGUUUGGCCGGGAGCAGGGAGAGAGAGGAGCUUGCUGAUGGAGCUCUGUAACUGGGGCGUUCGCAGCGCUUGCAGGAGGGAUGUUUGCAUGAGCAGGAACUUUGCAUGCCGCUCUUCUGUCAGGACAGUGAGACCUCCUGUCCCAGUUUGGAACUGGAAUCUGAGCCAGUGGUGCCAGGACUCGUGUGAGCUGGACAUGGCUUCUUGGUGAAUGGCUUAACACACCCUGUCCCAAGCUCUGCCCCACUGAGCUGUUCCUUUCUUCAAGCAUUUUACAAAACAAAAUAAACUGAAAGAGGAGUGAAGUCCUGUGGUCUGCUCCUCAGAGACUUCUGGUUUUGCUGGUGAUUUGUUUUUCAGUUUUAAAACAUCAGUGGUGAUUAUGAGAUUGCUGGGCUUUUUGUUCUCAGUCAGGGCAACUUAGACUGUCAGGGCCCAGAUGAAUUCCGAGGCACUAUGGCAAAGCCAACAAUAAUAAUGAGGAAUGAUCUGGGAGCUAUUCUGGAACCUGCCUGAUCACUUCAUCUGGGCCUGGAGAUGCUCAUUCCUCACAGUGGUGAUGGUGCUUUGGGCUGUGUUCUUCCCCUGUUACUGUCUGAAAUACCAGAGUGACCAGAGGCAUCCCAAAGGAGUACAUAAUGGAGCCCAGGGAGUUGGUAGAGACCAGUCCACCUUUUUUGGGAUCAGGUCAGUCUAUCCCUCCCCUGGGAGCUGACACAGACAAGAGCAGAUGGUUCUGAGAGUGUGCUCAGAACUUCCCAAAGGCCACCAGCUGCUGUAGUUCACGUCUGCUGUUCAGGCUUUCCACUGAGCAUUUACAUCCCCCUUCCUGGCCUUGGGAAGGAGCUGAACUGAAAUGCUGCUGCUUUGCCCAGGAGCUGUCCCUCCUGGAAAUGGUGUCCCUCAGCUGCAGCAUGUGAGGUGACACCUACGUGACCAAAGCAAAGUGCCCAGUAGGUGACACACCCAGCCCCUGUCAUGUGCUUUGGCAAACGGGGUCUCCAUUGUUGGGAUGACAUUUGGCCCAGAUGUCUCAGCUUUCUUAUUUGCUCUGGAGAGCCUGGGGAAUUUUGAACUUUAAAUAUUCCUGUGUUUUCUGCUAAAAAGGACAGGUUCCCAGGAGUAUUCCUGGUAUUUGCAGUAGAAAUCAAAGCAGUUUGUGAUUACUUGAUUUGAGAGCCCAUUCACUGUUUGGCACCAGCCUCUAAGGAAGUCCUGACUGCUUGAAAUGUUAUUCUUGUUGCAGAGCUCCUCAGCUCCAAACUCCAUAAUUUUGGAGUUUUAUGCAGUAUUUUAUAUAUUUUUGGUUAGACCUUCAAGUCAAGACCAAGAUGUCCAAUACCCCAUGGGAAGGCAGUACAAGGAGUAAAGGGUUCCCAGUACCCAGGAUUGCUGAGACACGUCUUAGAUUUCCACCUAGAAAUCAGAGAAGAGACAGAACACUUUCCUUAGAAGGAUCCAAAACUUCUUUACGUAGGGGUAAACAUAUAAUAUUUUCCAUUUCACUGCUGUGAAGAGCAGAAGAUAAAAAUACUGUGACUAAAUAUCAAUUCGGAAAUAAUUGAGUUGAAUUUUGUUUCCUCUCUUACACAGCAGGGCCUGAUGCCCUCUCCAAACUAUUUUUUUAAAGUUACUUUUUAAAAUUAGCUUUAGCCAUCAUAGCUUCUAUGUAUUUCUGGUCUUGAAAGGAACCAUCAAUUGUUUUUGUUUGAAGACAUUGAAUAUGAACUUGUUCCUACAGAGCUUUGUGCUGUAAUUUAUCAACAAGGCGCUGAGGCACAGACGUCAAAUGAAUACCAGAUUUCAAAUUAUGAUAAGCAAUUGUGUCAUCCCUGUGAAUAGACAUCAGUCUCUGCUGAGAAAUCAUCAAUAAUUCAUUUAAAAAAAUAAAUUAGUACAGGGCCUUUUGGAUAGGUCUUUGCAAACAACCAGUCCUGUGUUCUGUCAUAAUUCCUGUGAAUUUAAACCCAAAGGAUGCUUAUUUUUUAAAGAGAAACACAUGAUCAUGCCUAAGUCAAAAAAAUGUGUUCCCUCAGGACCUAAUUACCAUUUGUCUUUGGGGAGGUAUGGAGGAAGCUGGAGUGUCAGGGGUGUGCUGGGUUUGUCCAUGGCUCAGUGGGAACAUGCAGAGCUCUCCCAGAGUAUUUUACUGUUAAUAUUCCAGUCAUUACAUCUCCCCACUUCCUUUGCCCUCUACCUACACCAAACUCUAAGAUUAUUACUUCCAAUCUUAAAAUACAACUCUCAGAAUAAUUUUUAUUUCUUUACUAUGAGGAGAGGGAGGAUGCUGCUGGUUUAAAAAUUUCUUGAGCUUCCCUGUCGUAGGUGGCUUUUCAUUUGACAGUUGGCAUCCUGUUCGAGUCCAUUUCUCUCCCAAAUUGGAGGUUGUUACAUUCCAAUAAGCACACAGCAUCUGUUCUCUGUAGAAUAUGAUGUUGCAAGAUGCUGAUCAUUUAUCUAAGUGGGCUAUUUUCAAUUGAAUCAGAGAUGUACAUGCAGCCUAACAGCAAUAAUUCCCUCCUGCCUGUAAUUGCCCAUUAUAGGAAGAGGAAUUUAUAAAUAGUUAUAAAAGUCAGGAUUUAGAGGCUGUGCUUCAAGACCUAGGGCUAGCCACUCUUAGCUUAUCUUAGCAUAAUCUCAAAAAUAAAAUGCUCUACUUUGGAGAGCAUGAAAUAAUUUCUGUUUACACAUUUUUUUUCAAUUACUUUGAAGCUGUAAUAUAAAGGUCACUGAUUGCCUCUAGUCAUCACAUGGCUUUUUCACUAAUUGUGCACUCACCUCAUUUUGUUCUAUGGGAUCUUUUGCUUCUUGAUCCAGUUUCAUUGCCCAGAUGUUCAUUUCAUACAGUUAUAGCUUUAUACAAAGGGCAUCCUCUGUUCCAACAAACACAUUGUGGUCGUUGUUCCCAGUUGGGAGCCUCGUGCACAGCAGCUCACCUGCUUCCACCAUCAACCCACUGACCUUUGGGCUGAUUUAAUGUAAAAUCAGGCUCUGGGGAUAAGGAGGAGAAGUUAUGCCAAAAAGUUUCCUGGUCCCUAGCCUUGGACUGAUUAAGGUUGUGCUGCAGGAUAAAAAGGCAAUAAGGAAUGGGAAAGCUCUUUCAUCCUGACCCUUUUGGUGUGUAGUAGGAUGGAAAAUCACAUGGGCACCUUGAAAGUUUGACACUGGUGUUUUGGAAUGUGUAAAUGGAGACCUUAAUAUCUCCAAGAAGUCACUCUGUUGCCUGCUGCUUGUAAAAGCCACCCACAGAGGUUUCAUGUCAGGGCAGAGAGGUCCCUGCUGGUCCCCAUGGGGUGACUCUGCCCCAGGCCCUGGGGAUUUCCCAGCUCACAGAUUUCCGGAGGGUCAGGGCUCAAGGUUAUCCCUCAGCCCAUUUGCUGUUUGUGGAGCCACGUGGCCAUCACACAGCCCAGCUGUUGGGUUUAACUUAACCUUUAGAGCAGUCAUGAGAGCUUAGUUCAUGAGCAGAAUAAAUUACACGGAAGGCUUCAAGAGAGAAUUGUCCAUCUGAUUGCACUGGCUGCUGCUGAAAGCUCUGUGCAAGAUGAGCAGUGGAAAAUUGGACAGGGAUUGAGCAGUCUGUCAUGCAAGGAGGGUAUAACUUGGCAAUAUGUAUAUCUGUGCAGGUUUUGAAAUCUCUACCUUGGCCAAAAGUGACCUCCCAAACGACAGGAAUCUGGUCAUCUUGAGCACAAAUGUUCCUAGAAAGAUGAGCCUACGAAACUGUGCUGGCUGCUGGCAGGGCCAGCAGGGCUGGCAAAGUGCAGAGUGUUCCAGGCUGAGGUGGGAGAGCAGCUCCAGCCCAGGGCAGGCAGAGGAGAGCCCUGGAGAGGAGCUGGCACCAGGCAGUGAUUUUGGACAUCUCUCACUCUCAGCUGUGAGGCUGCUGGGCCAAACCUGCACAAGGUGGGAUGGUGCCUUAUGCUGAUGUGAUUUGCUGUGGGCCCUUCUGGUUCCCCACAAAGGAGCUCCAGGAUAUCCAGGACAUCCACUGCAUCCUUCCUAGGCAAACCUUGGGAAGGGUAGCUGCAGAUGCCAGUGUCUGCUCUGCUCAGCUUGGCAGGGAGGAGAGCAAAGGAGUGAGGUGGAGAAAACCAGGGAUCCUGUCUGGUUCUUGCUACCAGUGGAUAGAUACACAGGAAGGUGCAGGAUUUUGUUUUCUGAACAUGAUGUUUCCUGUGACUGCUGAAAUCAGUGAGCAGAGACAGACCCUUCUCCACACUGCAGCAUAAUCCUCCAUUUCUCUCUCUUGAGGCUGCAGAUCCCCUGGCACAGCUGUAAAUUUCCCUUACAGUGCACAGCAUGGGUUUCACUGACAAUUCCUGGGAAAACAACUCUUCUGGAGCCUUAUUCCAUUCAAAAUAUGUUUUUCCUCCUCUGCAUCUCCACAUUUUUCCCUGCAUCCAAGCAGCCACCUGCAUUCAAUAUCAGACACGUGGAAUUCCAUAAACAUCCCUUCCAGACCAUAAUAGUUUGAUGGAAAUAUGGCCAAGUGCCCAAAGCCCUGUGCCCUUCCCACAUCCCCUCCCAGCAGCAUGACCUGGGAGGCCUCCGGUGCAGGAUUGAUGUCUUGGUGGGUGGCAGUGACUGACAGCAGCAACAAGGAGCUCUCUGGGGCAGAGGACAGGGAGGGGAAUGGUGUCUCCUGGGAUGAGCUCCAGUCUGCUCCAGGGAAUGUGCUAAUUUUCACUCCUUCAUAGUCCUUUAUCUCCGGCCUUCGACCUUGAGCUCAGAGGCAUUAUCAGCCUUAGCCAGAAAGGCAGCGUGCAGUUAACCAUUGAAAUGCUGAAUGUUUCUCAUACAAGGUCCUGAAGGUAAAAGCAAUGAAUGCAGUUUAUUUUAAUAGUGCAGCAUCUCGGGGGACUGUUCAGGUUUGGGCAGAACCUAUUUAUGAUAUUAGGAAAUAUAUUUUUUAUCAUAUAUGAUUUUGUGAGCAUUUUUCGGAUUUUGAUGUCCCUUCAGAGUUCCCUGGGCAUGUGCAGACCCCUUGUAAGCCUGUUCUAUGUGCAUGACUGUGUACGAACUCGGUUUUAUUCAUCACCUUUUCAUCCUUAUUGUACCCAAUUACUGAUAUCCAGAGCACAGACAGAAAAUUACUGGUACCAUGUUUUCUGUGGGUCCCUUACUAUCAUGGGAACACAUUUCCAACUUCAUAAAGUAUUAUACAAACUCUUACCAUAAAAGAAAAGUCACUUCCUGGAGCUGUCUAGAUGAAUGUAUUUAUUGCCAGUUCUGCUGCUGACUUCCCUGGGUGACUCUGGGUUUGUCAUUUAGCGGUGUGUAAGGUUUUGUGUUUGCAGAAUGAGCUGGGAAUACUUCCAUGGGCCAUCGUGGCUAUUAAUGAGUUAGGAAUGUGCUUCUGUGCAUGUGUCUCUUGUUUGGCAAGAUCAGCUUCUUUUCUGUACCUGACAAAUAUGAUGCAAGAAGAAUAUUUCCUUUUCCUUACCGGCAGUAAGUGGUCUCUCUGUGACCAGCAGUAACUGGGAAGAAGCAGAAUUUUGGGUAGAAUAUUCCUGCUUAAUCAGUUCAGUGUUGAUGGAGUUAAUUUGCUCAUGCCUUCAGAUUGUUUUGUUUCCAGGGAUUCUAAACCGUUGCCUCCAGCUGUUCAUUUCCAUUGACGAGGAUGAUCUUUAUCUGUCUAAACUAGUUAAAACCUGCUCCACUACCCAGCAGCCUUUUUGGAAACAGCCCAAUAAAGCUGAGUGUGAUGGCUAUGACACCAAAGCCUCCUGGACAUCAUAAAUUCCAAGCCCUACUUUUUUCCCCUGACCUCUCACUGUUGGAGCACCCUUCCUGUUUUAAUGGGACUCUUAACUUCCUCCAUUUAAGCCUGUCCAAAAAGGGGAAUAUUUGCACUGCAAGUGAUCAGUGUAAGGUAAUUUGCUGCAUUAAUAUUAUCAAAUUAAGGCUUGACAGACCUCAAAGGUAUAAUUCAAACAACUGAAGCACUGUCACACUUGGACUCAGUGUGGUUGUUUCUUGAGAUGUUUUAGGUGACUCAUAUUUAUAAAUGUGCUCAGUUUAAGGCUUGUUGUGACAUGUUGGGACUGGUUAUACCUUCAGAGUCACCCGAGCCACUUCCUCCUCAAACAGGAGAUGUGCAAGUUUGUGUGCAAGCUGCAGGUUUGUUAAGCUGCUGAGGCAGCCACCAGAUGCACCAGGGCAUCCUUCCAGUGCUGAAAUUCAGGUGUCUGGUGUCCAUUAGGCAGAGAUGCUGUCUGUACCAGAGGGAAUUGCCAACAACACAAAACCUUCUGUUGCUGUAGUGCUGCUACAGGGACCAGAGCUGGAAUGUGCAGCCUGGUGUAGGAACUCCUUCCCUUGUGCUGGGGUUUCUAAUUCACAUUAUUUGGGCCUGAGCUGAACAGGAGCAUGUAACACAACAGGGAAAAUCUAAUGGUCAGUUUGGACAUAAAGCUCUUCCUUCCACUCCAAAGACUGUUAACAGCAGUGGGAAAAGCUGUGGUCAGAAGACUUCUCCUGAAAACUCAGGGUGAGGUUUAUUUUGGGAUGUGCCAAGGAGACUUCUCCCUGUAGUUUUAUUGCAGAUGUUGCUGUCCCUGCAGUCAGGGAGGGAGCAAGGCCUCAGCAGUGCUGGGAUGUGGCUCCUGCUCUCUGCUGCAAACAGCUGGAGCAGUUCAGCUCCAGCCCCUGCGUCUGUGGGAGAAUGCUGUGUAGUCAUUUUGCUGCUGAACCACCUCAGAGCGAUUAUCAGACUUCCAGAGCAAGGAAAAAGUCUGAGAAAAAGACCAGUUUAACAUGUCAUUGUUUGGUUUUAGCAGCUGUGUGUUAUCCUAUUGUUACUAAUAACCUUUGCAAGUUUGUGAGCAAUGUUUUCUUGGCAUCGUUCAAACAUAAUGACUGGGGGGUCACAUUCAGCUCUCAGUUGUGUAAAUAUGGAAUGUUCUCUUGGCUGUCUAGUGCUAUUUUGCAUUUGGCUCAUGGUCCCUGCCCCUAGAGUCCUGCAAUCCAAAAUACCCAGGCAGGGAGUUCAGUCACAGUAUGCUCUGGGUAUACUGCAUACCAGCUGGGUAUGCAAAGCACAAAGUAAACACAUGAACAGCUACUAUCAAAUCCAAGCCAUAUAAUUACAACUCUACUGUCCUCUGGUUGUGGUUAGUGGAUUAUUCCUGAAUAAAUGACAGCAGGAGUUUGCUUGGUACCUUCCCAGUGUAAUUCACCAGUAGAUAAUGAUUGGGAAGUCUUUCAGAAAAA
Molecule: non-coding RNA, 7289 nt
Organism: Taeniopygia guttata (zebra finch)
Lineage: Eukaryota; Metazoa; Chordata; Aves; Passeriformes; Estrildidae
Source: RefSeq, a predicted model, not a curated record